GGCCCGGUAGCUCAAUGGAUAGAGCAGCUCCGUCCUAAGGAGAAGGUUGGACGUUCGACUCGUCUCCGGGCUACCA
RNAcentral lists this transfer RNA (76 nucleotides) under Candidatus Nomurabacteria bacterium. Its description in RNAcentral is "tRNA-Arg". It matches the Rfam family "tRNA". From Rfam's summary of the family: Transfer RNA (tRNA) molecules are approximately 80 nucleotides in length. Lineage: Bacteria; Candidatus Nomuraibacteriota. The record is from RNAcentral.